Molecule: non-coding RNA, 72 nt
Organism: Desmophyllum pertusum
Lineage: Eukaryota; Metazoa; Cnidaria; Anthozoa; Scleractinia; Caryophylliidae
Source: the annotation of a GenBank genome assembly
UCUCCUGUAGCUCAGUGGUAGAGCGUCCGACCGGUGCGCGGAAGGUCAUAGGUUCGACUCCUGUUGGAAAAA